AUUGAACGCUGGCGGAAUGCUUUACACAUGCAAGUCGAACGGCAGCACGGACUUCGGUCUGGUGGCGAGUGGCGAACGGGUGAGUAAUGUAUCGGAACGUGCCCAGUCGUGGGGGAUAACGUAGUGAAAAUUACGCUAAUACCGCAUACGAUCUAUGGAUGAAAGCGGGGGAUCGCAAGACCUCGCGCGAUUGGAGCGGCCGAUAUCAGAUUAGGUAGUUGGUGGGGUAAAGGCCCACCAAGCCAACGAUCUGUAGCUGGUCUGAGAGGACGACCAGUCACACUGGAACGGAGACACGGUCCAGACUCCUACGGGAGGCAGCAGUGGGGAAUUUUGGACAAUGGGCGAAAGCCUGAUCCAGCCAUUCCGCGUGCAGGAUGAAGGCCCUCGGGUUGUAAACUGCUUUUGUACAGAACGAAAAGGUUUCUACUAAUACUAGGAGCUCAUGACGGUACUGUAAGAAUAAGCACCGGCUACUCUGUGCCAGCCGCCGCAGUAA
This 499-nucleotide ribosomal RNA is filed under the name uncultured bacterium. RNAcentral describes it as "partial 16S ribosomal RNA". It matches the Rfam family "Bacterial small subunit ribosomal RNA", at positions 30 to 523 of the family's 1533-position model. The record is from RNAcentral.